CUGCAAGGCGCCUUGAUGUAGUCUAAACAAACAACAACAUACAAUUUAUUAACAUCUACUAUCGUCAACUAUUAGGAAUUUAUCAAAACGCGCGCAGGAACAAUCACUUGCGCUUCGUUUGGUAUACAAAGUAAUGCAAUUAAAUUUUUUAUUGAGACAGCCUCAAAUCAAUCUCAGUAAUUUUUUCAAAUCACACAAAAUUUUAUUUAUUAAAUGCUAAAGGAAAAUCAAAGUCACA
RNAcentral lists this unclassified non-coding RNA (238 nucleotides) under Hevea brasiliensis (rubber tree). The record is from RNAcentral. Lineage: Eukaryota; Viridiplantae; Streptophyta; Magnoliopsida; Malpighiales; Euphorbiaceae.